UACAGAGGUCCCGAGCGUUGUUCGGAUUUAUUGGGCGUAAAGGGUGCGUAGGCGGCGGAGUAAGUUGGGUGUGAAAUCCCGGGGCUUAACCUGGGAACUGCAUUCGAGACUGCAUUGCUAGAGUAUGGGAGAGGGAAGUGGAAUUUCCGGUGUAGCGGUGAAAUGCGUAGAUAUCGGAAGGAACAUCAGUGGCGAAAGCGACUUCCUGGACCAAUACUGACGCUCAUGUGCGAAAGCGUGGGGAGCAAACAGG
RNAcentral lists this ribosomal RNA (253 nucleotides) under uncultured bacterium. RNAcentral's name for it is "partial 16S ribosomal RNA". It matches the Rfam family "Bacterial small subunit ribosomal RNA", at positions 524 to 776 of the family's 1533-position model. The record is from RNAcentral.